AAUAUAUUUUAUUUUAGUUUAAAAAUUUAUUGUUAAAUUGAAAAUUAUAUGUAAAUUUUUGUAUUUAUAUAUUUAUUUUAUUCUAAAAGAAUAAGUAAGUUAAUUGCAGUAAUUAAUUUUAAAUAUUAAAGAAAUUUAGAUUUAGCAAUUUUAUAAAAUAUUGAUAAAAUUUGUGCCAGCAAUCGCGGUUAUACAAAAAAUAUAAAUAAAUUGAUUUAGUAGUAGUUAAAUUGUUGAAAAUUAAAAAUUUUAAUUUUAUUAGGUGAAAUUUUAAAAUUAAUAAUAAUAAUUAAUAAAUUAAUUGAAGCUAAAAAAAAUUGAUUAUAAACUAGGAUUAGAUACCCUAUUAUUCAAUUUUUAAUUAUAUAAUACUAAGGUAGUAAUAGAUAUGAUCUUGAAACUUAAAAAAUUUGGCGGUAUUUUAAUCUAUUCAGAGGAACCUGUUCUAUAAUCGAUAAUCCACGAUGGACCUAACUUAAAUUUGUAUUCAGUUUGUAUAUCGCCGUUAUUAAGAAUUUUAUAAGAAAAAUAAUUUUUAAUAAUUUUUAUGAAAAUUAAUGUCAGGUCAAGGUGCAGUUUAUAUUUAAGUAGCAAUGGGUUACAAUAAAAUUAUUUAUACGAAUUUAAAAUUGAAAAAUUUUAUUGCAGGUGGAUUUGAAAGUAAAAUUAUAAAGAUUAUUAAUUUGAUUUUAGCUCUAAAAUAUGUACAUAUCGCCCGUCACUCUUGUUAUUAAUUUAAAUAAGAUAAGUCGUAACAAAGUAGAUGUAUUGGAAAAUGUAUCUAGAAACAA
RNAcentral lists this non-coding RNA (791 nucleotides) under Vermileo comstocki. The record is from RNAcentral. Lineage: Eukaryota; Metazoa; Arthropoda; Insecta; Diptera; Vermileonidae.